Molecule: ribosomal RNA, 433 nt
Filed under: uncultured bacterium
Lineage: Bacteria
Description: partial 16S ribosomal RNA
Rfam family: Bacterial small subunit ribosomal RNA
Source: RNAcentral
AACGAACGCUGGCGGCAUGCCUAACACAUGCAAGUCGAACGAGACCUUCGGGUCUAGUGGCGCACGGGUGCGUAACGCGUGGGAACCUGCCCUUAGGUUCGGAAUAACUCCCCGAAAGGGGUGCUAAUACCGGAUAAUGUCUUCGGACCAAAGAUUUAUCGCCUUUGGAUGGGCCCGCGUUGGAUUAGCUAGUUGGUAGGGUAAAAGCCUACCAAGGCGACGAUCCAUGGCUGGUCCGAGAGGAUGAUCAGCCACACUGGGACUGAGACACGGCCCAGACUCCUACGGGAGGCAGCAGUGGGGAAUAUUGGACAAUGGGCGAAAGCCUGAUCCAGCAAUGCCGCGUGAGUGAUGAAGGCCUUAGGGUUGUAAAGCUCUUUUACCCGGGAUGAUAAUGACAGUACCGGGAGAAUAAGCUCCGGCUAACUCCGUG